RNAcentral lists this ribosomal RNA (497 nucleotides) under uncultured bacterium. Its description in RNAcentral is "partial 16S ribosomal RNA". It matches the Rfam family "Bacterial small subunit ribosomal RNA", at positions 28 to 507 of the family's 1533-position model. The record is from RNAcentral.
GACGAACGCUGGCGGCGUGCCUAAUACAUGCAAGUUGAGCGAUGAAGCUUGGUGCUUGCACCAAUUUGAAGAGCAGCGAGCGGGUGAGUAACGCGUGGGGAAUCUGCCUUUGAGCGGGGGACAACAUUUGGAAACGAAUGCUAAUACCGCAUAACAACUUUAAACAUAAGUUUUAAGUUUGAAAGAUGCAAUUGCAUCACUCAAAGAUGAUCCCGCGUUGUAUUAGCUAGUUGGUGAGGUAAAGGCUCACCAAGGCGAUGAUACAUAGCCGACCUGAGAGGGUGAUCGGCCACAUUGGGACUGAGACACGGCCCAAACUCCUACGGGAGGCAGCAGUAGGGAAUCUUCGGCAAUGGACGAAAGUCUGACCGAGCAACGCCGCGUGAGUGAAGAAGGUUUUCGGAUCGUAAAACUCUGUUGGUAGAGAAGAACGUUGGUGAGAGUGGAAAGCUCAUCAAGUGACGGUAACUACCCAGAAAGGGACGGCUAACUACGUG